This 561-nucleotide long non-coding RNA is filed under the name Helianthus annuus (common sunflower). Lineage: Eukaryota; Viridiplantae; Streptophyta; Magnoliopsida; Asterales; Asteraceae. The record is from RNAcentral.
CAAAGUGGGAGGGCUAAUUGUAUAACUAGUGAAUAAAAAGGGUUAAUUGAGAAAUUAACAAAACAAAAACACAAACACGGUUGUGUUCGUGCGAACCAGGGGAGGAAGAAAGGGGAGCCAAAAACCCUAACUGCUAGAUAUCAAGAAAUUGAAGCCUAAAUCACAAGAAAAUUCGAUGCAUGGGUCCUCUUUUUCGAAAAUCUAACCCUAACUAAUGAAGUGGAACGUGUCAAGGAGAGCUCAAGCAUAGGAGGAUAACGGGUCAAGAUAAGGCAAGGUGACAAAUACACUUAUUGGAAUACUCAAGGUUAUGAAUGUCGGACUUUCGAAGUGUUGAUAUAAUAAUGAAACGGUUGAAUGUUGAAAGGAUAAUCGGAUUGAAGUAACUUAUGCGGUUAGAAUAUGCUAUGGACGUUUUAGUUUAUACAAUAUUAUAUGUUUGGUCGUCACCAUCUACUAACAGGUAAUUCCUCAAUUUUGGCGACUUGGAGAAUCGGAGCGAGCGCGUGUUCGUGUUAUGCGAUACCAAACGCUUCCGCUAGCUUGUUCAAAUGUUUUUGA